RNAcentral lists this ribosomal RNA (253 nucleotides) under uncultured bacterium. Its description in RNAcentral is "partial 16S ribosomal RNA". It matches the Rfam family "Bacterial small subunit ribosomal RNA", at positions 524 to 776 of the family's 1533-position model. The record is from RNAcentral.
UACGUAGGGACCAAGCGUUGUUCGGAUUUACUGGGCGUAAAGGGCGCGUAGGCGGCGCGGUAAGUCACUUGUGAAAUCUCUGAGCUUAACUCAGAACGGCCAAGUGAUACUGCAGUGCUAGAGUGUGGAAGGGGCAAUCGGAAUUCCGGGUGUAGCGGUGAAAUGCGUAGAUAUCCGGAGGAACACCGGUGGCGAAGGCGGCUUCCUGGACCGACACUGACGCUGAGGCGCGAAAGCUAGGGGAGCAAACGGG